UUUUGAAUAGAAGUAAAGAAAGUGGACGUGCUUGUCUUGCUCUUAGCAGGGAUGUUUUGAGUAUAUCUCCAUUUAGUGUGACAUUGGUUAUACCUGUGUUGUAUAUAUAUAACCUUUGUUAUGUUGAGGUAUGCCCCUCCAUCUCUAGUCCUUCCAUGACUUUUAUCAUAAAGGGAUGUUAAAUUUUGUCAAAGAUUUUUCAUGUGUCUAUUGAGAUGGUCAUGUGACUUUUGUCUUUGAGUCUAUGUAUAUGAUGGACAACAUGAAUGAAUUUAUGUAUGUUGAACCAUUCUUGCACCUCUGGCAAGAAGCCAACAUGGUCAUGAUCUUUCUGAUGUGAUCUUGAAUUCAGUUUGUCAGUAUUUUCUUGACAAUUUUUCAUCUGUGUUUAUUAGGGAGAUUGGCCUGUAAUUUUCUUUGUGUGUGUGUCUUUAUCUGAAUUUGACAACCAAAGUGCUGUGGAGAUAGGUAUGGGAAACACUCCAUGAGUUUUAUGAGAGCAGGCCCCGGGAAGUGAGUGGUAUAAGUUUCCACCAAGACACUCAAGAUGUGCCUUCUACAGCCAAGCUGAAAGGGAUUCUCUAAGGCCCUACUGUCCUAGAACUCUGCAGAUGAGGCUGACCUGGAACUCAAAGAUCCACCUGCUUCUGACUCCCAAGUACUGAGAUCAAAGGUGUGAACUACUAUAAUCCCACCAAAUCAAUUCCUAAAAAUGAAGAAGUUACAAUGAAGACAUUAUAAUGGAAGAAGAACAGGAAGGCAGCUGACUCACAUGACUACAUCCAAAGAGGGGAUAUAAAAAUCUAUUGGACUUUGGCAGUCUCCUUAGCAUAAAAGAUGGCUAACCAGAAUGUGUUGUUGAAGGAUGUCUUUUGAGAUCUAAAUAUUAUAAUGACUGUAAAGUGGAAAUUAAGCAAAUCUACUUCGAAUCCCACCUUGUGUAUGUGUUGCUUCUUAACCUUAACUUUUUGUUCUGAAUUAAUGUCUGUCACCUAGUUUGAUUCCUAUUGCUGUGAUAAAAUGCCAUGAUCAAAAACAACUUGGGAAAGAAAGAAUUUAUUUGACUUACACUUCUUGGGUCACAGUACAUUGAGAGAAGCCAAGGCAGGAACUGUAGCAGGGGCAUGGAAGAAUGUUACUUCCUUUCUUGCUUGCUCAUAGCCUGCUGAGUCUGCUUUCUUAUAUAAUCUAGUACUACCUUCCCAGGGAGCACUACUUGAAGGGAGCUGGAAGCUGGAUCAUUAAUCAAGAAAAUCCCACAGACUUGCCUAUAGGCCAGUUUGAGGAGGCAAUUCCUCAAAAGAGAUUCAGUCUUCUCAUAUAUGUCUAGCUUUGUGCCAAGCUGACAAAACCCAGCCAGCACGAUUGAUUCAUUGUCAGCUUGAAGCACAAUAUCUCAACUUGUCCCCCAAAUUUCAUGUCAAUAUUAUUAUCAAAAUGAUGGGGGAAAUACUUCUGUGUAUGUUUAUAAAUAAAGUACUUGCUUGGCCAAUGAGACAGCAGGUUAGGCUGGACUAGGAGUCAAAGCGGAUUCUGGGAAACGUAGUAGAGAAGUGGUGAUCCAGGCAGGAAGUGACAUAGCAAGGAGACUCAUAUUUAAGAAGAGGAAAAAGGAAGUGUCGCUCUCUUUUCCCCUCGCCUCCUGUUCCAGCGGCAAGAUGUGAUUCACCAGCAAGGAGGGACCCCAAUAAGGCAUCCGAUAAGAUAAGUCUUAUAAAAUAUAUAGAUGUAUGGUAAUUGAGACUGAGCUAACAAAUGAGAAUCCUAGUCAUUGGCCAAGCAGCUUUGUAACUAAUACAAGUCUCUCUGUGUAUUCAUUUGGGCCUAACUCGGGCAGGCGGCUGGCAUAAAGCUCACACGUGGCGGUGGGGCUCAGGCGGCUUUUGGCAAAAAGAUUUAUCGUAACAUCAAAAUAUAAAACAUAAAUGUUGACUGUUACACAUAACUCUUUCCCGCCAGCCUGGUUCUGCAGCCACCUUGCCCCAAAUGAACACAUGGACACUGUAUUAAUUAUAAAUCUGUUGGCCAAUGACUAGGGCUUUUUAUUGGCUAGCUCUGUCUUAAUUAUUAACCCAUCUCUAUUAAUCUAAGUAUUUUCACAUGGUCUUAUCUUACUGGAGAGGAGUAACUGGACCUGUUACUCCUCUGGCAUCCUAUAUGGCGACUGACUGCCUAUGUUUCCCAGAAUCCUCCUUAUCUCCUAUUCCCACCAAUCUUCCUGCUUCAUUGGCUGAACAGUGUUUUAUUUAUCAACCAAUAAGAGAAACAUAUACAGAAGGAUAUUCUCCAUCUCACAUAAAUAACUCUAAAAGUCCUUAAGUCUUCAAAAAAUUCCCAUCACUUAAAAGUUCAAUGUCACUUUAAAAUAUUCAACAUUAUUUUAAAGUCCAAAGUCUUUCCAAAGACCCUGCAUAAUAAAAAAUAAGUUACACAUUAUUUCAAGAGGCAAGAAUCAUGGCACAAUCACAGUCUAAACAAAGCAAAACCAAACUCCAACAUUGUAAAUUCAAUCCUGGAGUUCAAUGUACUGCAUCUGGGAUUUACUCAUAUCUGGGUUCCAAAAGACUUGUAUAUCUCUCCCUCUCAAGGCUCUGCCAUUCACAGCACACAUAGCCUGUCUCAUAGGCUUAGAUUGGCUCCCCUCCACAGCAGCUGCUGUCCUAAGUGGUCAUCCCACUGACUUCUCCAGUAUGUUGGAGUCUCUAGAGUUCACAUGUUUACCAAUGACCCUCCUGAUCUCUCAAAGUACCAAAUCUUAUCUGCUCUCCACGAUCCCAUCACUCUUUCAAGACUAGUUCAGCCUGGUUGAUUAUUACACAUUACCAAAUCUGGCUACCAGCGUGAGAAGCAGCCUUGGCUCCUAGCUCUAUAUGCUGACCUCGAAAUACUUCCCAGAAGAUUUAACCUCAAUGAUGCUGGUCUCUUCUUAACCACAGUGAUUUUUACAGCCAUUAGCCCAGCCAACUAGAAAAGCCAAAGAUUCACUUUCGUGGUUCUACUCUGUUGUUACUCAAACUGAUUCUUCAGUCCUACCUGAUCAGAAACUACAUAUUGGUAAUUCAAAACAUCACGAGAACAGCCCCUAGAGAGUCUUUGCUUCCCUCUGAAACUUCACAAACCACGGUUCCCUUAUCUGCAUUGUUCUCAGCACUAGCACUCUCUUGCAAGUUCCCACAAUAGCUUACCAAGCUUUGAGCACCCAAUGGCUUCUCAGCCCAAAGUUCUCAAGUCCUUUCUCAGUCCUUCCCAAAGCAUUGUGGUUAGGUCUGUCACAGCAACACCCUACUCCUGGUACCAGCUUCACUUAGGCUUGUUACUUUUUGUUAACUUGACAGGAACCUAAACAAAUAUGAGGAAUUGCCUCUAUCAGAUUGGCCUGUAGGCAAGACUGUGGGGUCAUUUUCUUGAUUAGCGAUUGAUUUCAGAGCACCUAGCCCCCUUGGGCAAUGCCACCCCUGGGAAGGAAGUUCUGACAGCCAAUUGUGUUGGGAUGGCUUGGCCCAAUGGGCAUGGUCUUUUCUGGGUAUGUGUGACUGGAUAAGAAUGGAAGGUGGGGUGUGUUCUCUCUUGGACUGUGGAAGGCUUGCUGGCAGUGGCAGCCUGGUGACCUUCCCUGGACCUGCCCAAUCACUCUUGAGAACCAGAG
This 3646-nucleotide long non-coding RNA is filed under the name Cricetulus griseus (Chinese hamster). RNAcentral's name for it is "lncRNA (ENSCGRG00015037494.1)". Lineage: Eukaryota; Metazoa; Chordata; Mammalia; Rodentia; Cricetidae. The record is from RNAcentral.